Molecule: ribosomal RNA, 398 nt
Filed under: uncultured bacterium
Lineage: Bacteria
Description: partial 16S ribosomal RNA
Rfam family: Bacterial small subunit ribosomal RNA
Source: RNAcentral
AUACGUAGGGUGCGAGCGUUGUCCGGAAUUACUGGGCGUAAAGAGCUCGUAGGUGGUUUGUCGCGUCGUCUGUGAAAUUCCGGGGCUUAACUCCGGGCGUGCAGGCGAUACGGGCAUAACUUGAGUACUGUAGGGGAGACUGGAAUUCCUGGUGUAGCGGUGAAAUGCGCAGAUAUCAGGAGGAACACCGGUGGCGAAGGCGGGUCUCUGGGCAUUAACUGACGCUGAGGAGCGAAAGCAUGGGUAGCGAACAGGAUUAGAUACCCUGGUAUUCCAUGCCGUAAACGGUGGGCGCUAGGUGUAGGGGUCUUCCACGACUUCUGUGCCGUAGCUAACGCAUUAAGCGCCCCGCCUGGGGAGUACGGCCGCAAGGCUAAAACUCAAAGGAAUUGACGGGG